This 460-nucleotide ribosomal RNA is filed under the name uncultured bacterium. Its description in RNAcentral is "bacterial SSU rRNA". It matches the Rfam family "Bacterial small subunit ribosomal RNA", at positions 340 to 786 of the family's 1533-position model. The record is from RNAcentral.
UACGGGAGGCAGCAGUGGGGAAUAUUGCACAAUGGGCGAAAGCCUGAUGCAGCUAUGCCGCGUGUAUGAAGAAGGCCUUAGGGUUGUAAAGUACUUUCAUCGGGGAGGAAAAAACAAAACUAAUAAUUUUAUUUCUUGACGUUACCCGAAAAAGAAGCACCGGCUAACUCCGUGCCAGCAGCCGCGGUAAUACGGAGGGUGCUAGCGUUAAUCAGAAUUACUGGGCGUAAAGAGCACGUAGGUGGUUUUUUUAAGUCAGAUGUGAAAUCCCUGGGCUUUAACCUAGGAACUGCAUUUUGAAACUGAAAUACUAGAGUAUCGUAGAGGGAGGUAGAAUUCUAGGUGUAGCGGUGAAAUGCGUAGAUAUCUGGAGGAAUACCUGUGGCGAAAGCGGCCUCCUAAACGAAUACUGACACUGAGGGUGCGAAAGCGUGGGGGAGCGAAACAGGGAUUAGAUACC